Molecule: long non-coding RNA, 1162 nt
Filed under: Heterocephalus glaber (naked mole-rat)
Lineage: Eukaryota; Metazoa; Chordata; Mammalia; Rodentia; Bathyergidae
Description: lncRNA (ENSHGLG00100051498.1)
Source: RNAcentral
GUCUGCCAGGGAUCCCCAAAGUAACUGUUGUACAACUCCACUUAAGACCAAAGAGUCCCUGGUACCUGCUUAGAAGUGGCUUCUGCCUCCACAUCACCCUGGUGUCCGUGUGACCUCUGCAGUGUUCUGCAGCUGUAGUUUAGUCUGAAGAGCUCCAACCACAGCCCCUUCUGCUGCCACUAGGCUGGGGGCCAGCCCUGCUCUCCCCACUACAGCCCUGCUUUUAUUGUGGGUUUUUGUGUGCUUUGGAAUUCGCCCAGCCAUUGCAAUCCACCCGAGUGACACAGCCCUGUCUCUCCAGCAUGCAUGACUUGGGCCGGAGGCACUCCUGGGCGGCGACGACACCUCCGGCACUGUGCCGGGCCUGGGGGACACAAAGUGCUGCGUCGUGCUGCAAGGAGCAGUCACGCGCAUGAGGAAUGGCAUCAGCAUUGCAAGAUAUAGCUAGAGAGAAGAAUGAAAGAGACACUGAAGUCCCAGGAGCCUGGGUGCACUCCAGGACUAGUGGCCAUGAAAGGCUGGCUGCUCACUUCCUCUGCUUGUCCAGAUCCAGGCUCUGGAUGAAGAACUAGCUGUGCCGCGUGACGGAGGUUUAACCUCAGGACAUGGUGCCUGGAUGAGAGGUCCUGCUCCCUAUGUAGACAGUGCUGAGUGAGACUGUCCACACUCACCACCAUGGAGGUGGGAAGUGGAUUACAAACCCCUGUGCACAGGGUGCACACGGGCCACAGCUCCUUCCCCACUGCACACAGAUGUCCAGAACAUUACCUGGUAGCCUCUUUCAUAUUACAAACUUCUGGAGGAAGAGAUGAAAAAUUUCAAAUUUGCUCUGCAGAACAAAAAUUGUCCCUUUAAAGAUGAAUGUGCAGCUGUGCCCAGUGCUGAUGGAGUCAUAGCACAGACCAGGGAUUAGUAAACGGUGUGUGCCCCAUUAAGACUAAACAAGCCCCUGCUCAUUAGAGCCCUAAUUGCAGUGGUUAUAUCAAAGCCCCACAGACCUCACCAGUGUCUAGUUCAGCUCUGUGUGUUACAUAGGUGCCUGGCGUCAUCUUCCCACCUGCUGAAAUGAAAGAUUCUUGGAAUAUCCAUGUGUGUAAAACAUGUUUGUGAUGCAAAUAUGAAGGUACCCUUUCAUCCCGUCCCCACUUUGAUGUCAUGGUAG